AGAGUUUGAUCCUGGCUCAGGAUGAAUGCUGGCGGCGUGCCUAAUACAUGCAAGUCGAGCGGCAGCGCGUCUAGUUUACUAGAUGGCGGCGAGCGGCGGACGGCUGAGUAACGCGUAGGAAUGUGCCCCAAAGUGAGGAAUAACUGCCCGAAAGGGUAGCUAAUGCCGCAUAUGGUCUUCGGAUUAAAGGAUUUAUCCGCUUUGGGAGCAGCCUGCGUACGAUUAGAUAGUUGGUGAGGUAAUGGCUCACCAAGUCGACGAUCGUUAGCUGGUCUGAGAGGAUGAUCAGCCAGACUGGAACUGAGACACGGUCCAGACUCCUACGGGAGGCAGCAGUAAGGAAUCUUCCACAAUGGGCGAAAGCCUGAUGGAGCAACGCCGCGUGCAGGAUGAAGGCCUUCGGGUUGUAAACUGCUUUUAUGAGUGAAGAAUAUGACGGUAACUCAUGAAUAAGCACCGGCUAACUACGUG
Molecule: ribosomal RNA, 471 nt
Filed under: uncultured bacterium
Lineage: Bacteria
Description: bacterial SSU rRNA
Rfam family: Bacterial small subunit ribosomal RNA
Source: RNAcentral